Molecule: transfer RNA, 71 nt
Filed under: Danio rerio (zebrafish)
Lineage: Eukaryota; Metazoa; Chordata; Actinopteri; Cypriniformes; Danionidae
Rfam family: tRNA
About the family: Transfer RNA (tRNA) molecules are approximately 80 nucleotides in length. Their secondary structure includes four short double-helical elements and three loops (D, anti-codon, and T loops).
Source: Rfam by way of RNAcentral
GCAUCGGUGGUUCUGUGGUAGAAUUCUCGCCUGCCACGCGGGAGACCCGGGUCCGAUUCCCGGCCAAUGCA